Long non-coding RNA from Talpa occidentalis (Iberian mole), 3262 nucleotides. RefSeq lists it as uncharacterized. The transcript is spliced from 5 exons. The record is from RefSeq and is a predicted model, not a curated record. Lineage: Eukaryota; Metazoa; Chordata; Mammalia; Eulipotyphla; Talpidae.
GGCUCACAGCGAGUCGUGCGGGGCUGCGGGCGGCCGGUGCCUGAGCCCGCGUGAUUUUUUCUGUCCCGCAGCCCCCGCUGCCAGCGCCAGGCGUUCAGUCCCGCAGGGCCGUGCAGAGAGUGGGUGGGGCUGACCAAGAACCUAGUUCCCCCUGAGUCACCUUCGGAAGAAAGAAAGCGUUAAAAUAACUUCCUUAUCCGGACUGUUGUUUGCAGUUUCAAUUCAGGGCAGCGUCCGCUCCCCUGUCCGCUGCUUGCACUGGAGCCCGCCCCCCUGCUUUCCCCUGGCCAGGCCAGCCGGCUCUGCGCCGCCUGGGAGACCUCGGAGACACGAAAGCCGUCUGGAUGGCUUUGCGGGCCCAGCAUCCGCCAGCGCCCCCUCGGCUCCUGCGGGGCGUGAAGGGGCCACACUGCCUGCUGCACCCGCCCUGUGCAGGGGCUGGGGCUGCCCUGUGGGCUCAGCACCUGGCCAGUCUCCAGUGUUUUAACAGCUGUGGAAAGAAUGGACAACAUGAGAGAAGAGAAAGAGAGACUCAUCUUCAGAAGAGGACACAGCUCAGUGCAGUGAGCCCUUGAGAGGUGUCUGGACCAUGGUGCUCCCGAGGUGAGGAAAUAACAACAGCCACCAUUUGGAGAAGGCUUACUAUCUUGUGACACCUGCGCUGAGCCCCUUCCCGAGGCUCCCAGCCCCUGCCAGGAGCCGAGACAAGUUGGUGCUCACGCAUGGCUUCCUGUUGCUACGGAUGAAUGCAUGGACACAGAGGUGCCACGCAGCCGUCAUGUCAGGAGCACUGUGGGCCCCACUGUCCUUAAGGGGUGUUGCCUUGGAUGUGGAGACCAUGGAGGAGGCCGCGUGGGGAUGGAAGCACUGGCCCUCUCAGGAUGGGGACCUGGGCCUCAGCUCCCCCAGAGGGGCCUCUGCCUGGUGAGUGAAUGCCAGGGGCUAUGUCAGCCUGUGUUUCUGGGCUAGAAAUACCAGGCUGUGGGCCUCACUUAACUUUCUCCUCGGGUUCUUUUGGGCUGAUGUUGCUGCUGCAGGCAUUGCCAGCCUUCUUACCCUGUGGCCUCAGCACACUGUAGAACAAUUUUUCCUCCCUUGUGGGUGGGUGGGGCUGGGACUCUGGAAACUUGGGGCCAAGAGUUAGAGAGUCUUCGGCUGGCUCUCCCCCUCCCCAGCAGUGCCACGGAGCCCCCUGGACUGGGUCACCUACUCUGCCUACUUCUGGAGUUUUCUGUGCUAUAUAUCAUUGUCCUCCCAUCCACCCAAUAAAUCAUGAAGUUUCCCCGCUCUUGUGUCUGUUUUGUUUUGUUUUCCAUUUUCCUAGGACUACCUCUGUGUGCCAGCCGGGCUGGGUGUGAAGAACAAGGUCACCGGGGGCAGGUUUUCCAGUGUCACUCUUUGCUCCUGUCACUUGGCACACUUAGGGGUCUGGUCAAGGGACAGGAAAGGGAUGAAGAAUUUAGACUAGGGUCAAGCAAUUUCUGCUGCUUCUGGGGAGCUCAGGUUUAGGAGAGCAGGGAAUUCUUAGAAUUGUUGACUAGGAAUAUUUGGGCAGGACUUUAGAAAAGAGGAGGGUGGUAGAGGUGGACCUAGGGGGUGAAGACUUCGAGGAAGGCAGGAGAAUUCAAGGAGGAGGUGUGGAGCAGGGUAUGGGAUGUGGUGGGCACAUGUCAAGUGUUGGGAUUUCUGUUACUGAAACCCCAGGUAGAUUUGGUCUUUGGGGUUUCUGUUGAGUACCAAUGAAUCACAACAUACUAAGCAUGAAUUUGCAUGACCCCCACUUUAUCCUGUUUUGGGUUGGCCCACACUGAGGAACUCUCUCAGGGCCAUGGUAGGAAGGGAGGAUCUGAUUGGCCAUUCCUUCCGUGGACAGUGAAGUCACCUCGCCUGGGGCUGAGGUAGAAACUCUGGCCCCUUUCAUGAGUUCAGCAUCUUGAUGGCCUUUGCCCUCAGGCAACAUUCUGAGGGGUGGAACGAUCUACUCUGCACUCUUUCCAGCAGAGCACCUGAUUUCUGCCUUGCCCCUCUCCUUAAUUCCUACCCAGGGGCCCCCUUUUGAUACCCCUUUUUAGCUCUUCCAAAGACUCUCCACCUACUCCAGCCCCUCUCUGCACCAGUCACUGGACAUUUGUAAACUCUUUUAACACUGUCCUCAUUGCUAAGCAACUUCUCCUGGGCUGUAGAUAGUAUCUACAUCCCAACCUCCUUCCCCUUUCUGAUUAUUCACUCAUCAUUUUCUUGGUGUCCUGCCCCCAUCCUACAGCCUGGGGGUCCCUGGUGGGUUGGUCUCUGUGAUAUAGAAGGGGACAGCAAUGGAGUGCUGGGGAAGAGGGAAGAGAGAAUAUGACCAUGGGCUGCAGAGGCCUCAUCAUUACCAAGGUUUAACCCAAGGUCAUCAGAAUUCCUCCUAAUAAGCCAGAAGUGUCCAUUUAUGGAGACUUCACUUAAUCCUUUUCGUUUCCGUGGCAACCUAAUGUAGUGACUAAACAUGAAAUGUCAGUGACCUAAGGUGCUGGACGUGCUGUGGCAGCAUCUGACACUAGAGGAUACAGCUCUUCUUGAUCCUUAACUUGCUCACUUUCAAACUGUAAAUGAAUGUCACCCCUUGUCCUCUGCCAUCCUUACCCCACCUGACCCUCAGCCUCCAGCACAGAUUUCUAGUCUCCAGGGGGGACAUGCAGGCCCUCCUCACUGCCCAUGGCCUGCCUGCCUGUCCAUCCUCAUCUAAUCGAUCAUUCUUCAAAAGCAGGGAAGGCCUCAGCCACAUGACUGCUUAAGGUUCCUGCCAGGCUCGCCUUUUCCUGGCCUUUGUCCUUGGAAUGCAUCCUCCCCUGAGGCGCUUGUCUGACUCAGCUUGUGUCACUUCCGUCAGGAAGCCUUCCUUGACUAAACUCCCAUCCAGACUGGAUGCCCAGCCCCUCCUUUCAGUUAGAUCAAGUGUCAAUUCUGUGCAGGCACAAUCCUAGGAACUGGUAAACAAAAAACAGCAAAAGCAAAUUCCUGCCUCUGGUGCUUGCCUUUUAGAGGACAUAGACAUACCAUCAGCCAAGUACUGAAAUGUGUAGCAUGCUAGAGAUGGGCCCAGGAAAAAAUAAUGAAACAGGGCAAGCAGGGAGAAUGGCAUUUAAAACUGAGUAGAUGGAAAACCUUACCUGGGAGGUGAGUAAAGUGAGUGACUCACACCUGGGUGUUCACCACAACCUGUGCAACCUCCAUUGCAGCAUGGACUCGGAGUGGUAGGAAGCUCUCUUCAGGAGACCAG